Long non-coding RNA from Helianthus annuus (common sunflower), 694 nucleotides. RefSeq lists it as uncharacterized. Lineage: Eukaryota; Viridiplantae; Streptophyta; Magnoliopsida; Asterales; Asteraceae. The record is from RefSeq and is a predicted model, not a curated record. The transcript is spliced from 2 exons.
AGGUUUUAUUUCUCCUAUGCUGCAAACCAGAAAAGUAGCCGCAACCCUACUUUAUGCAAACCUCUCUCCGCUGCUGAAAUCGGCAGCUUGUUGGUAUUUUAUGUUUACUAAUCAACCAGAGUUGAUUGGAACGCUUGAUUCGAGUUCUAUCAUUUUUGUAUGAUCCACAAGUAAUGGAUUCCGUUGUGAAAGUGUUUGAAUAUCUUAAAAUCCAAUUGGAAGAGUUAAAAAAGGUUAUUAGAGCCGUGGAUUUGGAAAUGUGUAUGAAGGAUAGGCUGCUCACUCUAAGGGCCGAAACAGGGUUGCUAUUAAGCGUAUUGAAUCAUGAAUUUGAACAAUGAGACCCUGAGUUUUGGAAGGAGAUCAUGAUGCUUUUCCGUUACAUUCCUUAGAAUUUUACAUCUUUAUCUCUCUUCUUGGAUUUUGUGACGAGGAUGGUGAUUUUGUGACGAGGAUGGUGAGAAGAUACUUGUUUACGAGUAUGCAUCUAACGGAAUCCGAAACCAUUACUUAAACUCCAUUAUUUAACAUGGACACAACGUCUCAAGAUAUGCCGUAAUAAUGGGCUAGUCUACCUUCAUAGUUGAUGAUAUCAAAAACAAGAUGUAUUUAUUAGUUAAAUAAUUUGAUGUUUUGUAUAAACGAGUUUAAGUAAUUCUUUGUAAAUAAAAUAAAUUUUAUCUAUUUUGGUCAA